GACAGAGGGUGCAAACGUUGUUCGGAAUUACUGGGCGUAAAGGGCGCGUAGGUGGCCUGCUAAGUCGAACGUGAAAUCCCUGGGCUCAACCCAGGAACUGCGUCCGAUACUGGUUGGCUUGAAUCCGGGAGAGGGAUGUGGAAUUCCAGGUGUAGCGGUGAAAUGCGUAGAUAUCUGGAGGAACACCGGUGGCGAAGGCGACAUCCUGGACCGGUAUUGACGCUGAGGCGCGAAAGCCAGGGGAGCAAACGGG
Molecule: ribosomal RNA, 253 nt
Filed under: uncultured bacterium
Lineage: Bacteria
Description: partial 16S ribosomal RNA
Rfam family: Bacterial small subunit ribosomal RNA
Source: RNAcentral